This 229-nucleotide long non-coding RNA is filed under the name Lonchura striata (white-rumped munia). Its description in RNAcentral is "domestica (Bengalese finch) lncRNA (ENSLSDG00000007826.1)". Lineage: Eukaryota; Metazoa; Chordata; Aves; Passeriformes; Estrildidae. The record is from RNAcentral.
UUAAAUAACAUUUAGUAUGCUUUAGAACCUGAACUUUAAAAUUCUGAAGACUUUUUUAAAAAAAAAAAUUAAUCUUUAACCUUUUAGGGUUCGGUGGGUGAACCAGGACCUAAGGGUGAACAGGGUGCACCUGGAGCAGAAGGAGAUGGUGGAGAAAAGGGUGACUUAGGUGACAUGGGACUACCAGGAGCAAAGGGAACUGUAAGUAUAACGAAUAGCAUUGUUACAG